GUGCACUUAAUUGGACGUGUGAAGGGAGCUCUUAUCCUCACGUUUGUCUUUUCUUUGGAGUAAAUUCACAGCACUAAAUAGUGGAGGGCCCAUGGUUUCAUUAUGCACCAUCCUUGAGCACAAAACGUCUGGGAUUUUGCUUUAAAAGAGGGAGGAGGUUCAGAGUUUGGAGGGAGAGGAGUCGUGUGGAGGAGGAGGCAGCAGGGGGCUGAUCCAGUUUGCACACACAGCACGCACGGCAGUACCAGAUAUUAAUGAAGAAAGGGGCUGGUGCUAAAUGAAUUGAAGAGGGCCAAGCAGUAGGUUGAAGUGUGCUGAGAUUGACUGGGCCAAAAAAUGCUGGGCCAAGGCUGAAUGGAUGGAAACUAGGCCGUUGUUGGUUUCACUCGUUCAAAUCGUUGCUGUUCUGGAAUGGCUGAUUCUUGCUGCAAUGGAGUUGGGCUGAAGCCCUUUUGGAUGGUUUAAUGAAACGCAACGUUUCAUGCUGCGAGAAGGGGAAAAGGCUGGGAGUUCCCUAUACUUCGUGCUUCAUUUGUGCAAGAGGGAGCUUCUUUCCCCAAAUUCUCUCAACCCUGCACCUAGGGUUCGUGUUCCAACAAAAGAGAAGAACCAGAGUAGUGAUUAAGAACACAAGCUACAAGGCCCAAAAGGAAGCCGGCCCAGAAGCUAAUCGGACCGGAGAAGCAGAAUCGUGAUCGGAGGUAUGCUGGGCUGGAAUGGUUGACGAGUAAAGCUUUUGGAGACCGUUGGAUCAAGGAGAAGCUCGAAGCGUCAAAGCAAGGUUUCCCCUCUCCCAUUUUGAUCUUUUCCCCCUUUCUUUUCUCUUUUCGUUUUUCGACCCUAUAUAAAGGGCUUUCACGAUGUAAAUACAUAUACAGAGAACACUUCUUCACACACUUUUAACCUUUUUAGUUUACAGUUCUCCGUUCUAGAGUUUAGGGUUUUAUUCGCUUUUUUUAGAAUAGGAUAUUGUUCUUGAUUCUGGAUUUCGCUGAUGAGAUUCAUGGAACCGUGACAAUCCGUGAGCUCCUCAUUAGGUGAUUUCUGGUAAAGUGUUUGUAAUUUUCCUUUUUCCAUAUUAAUAAAGUUAAAAUUCGUAUUCUCGUUUA
This is a long non-coding RNA of Vigna angularis (adzuki bean), 1109 nucleotides long. RefSeq lists it as uncharacterized. The transcript is spliced from 2 exons. Lineage: Eukaryota; Viridiplantae; Streptophyta; Magnoliopsida; Fabales; Fabaceae. The record is from RefSeq and is a predicted model, not a curated record.